Dendroctonus ponderosae (mountain pine beetle) is the source of this 811-nucleotide long non-coding RNA. RefSeq lists it as uncharacterized. The transcript is spliced from 2 exons. The record is from RefSeq and is a predicted model, not a curated record. Lineage: Eukaryota; Metazoa; Arthropoda; Insecta; Coleoptera; Curculionidae.
GACCUGGCAACACUGGUCAUGUUGUGCAAAUUUUAACCAUAUUUUUCCAAUAACAAAACAAAUUGGUUACUUAAGUGAUUCUAAUUUGCUUCACAGGAAUUCACAAUGCACAGAUGUUUCGUCGGCUUUUAUAUUUGGUGCUUUUUACAACCUUGUCGGUUUUCCAAUAGCGGUAGGAAAUAUUUCUUCGAUCGAUCAUAUUUGAUGGUCAUACUCGGGAGUCAUAAAUAAAGACAAGCCCGGAGUAUAGAUUAUGAGUGAAGUAUUUCAGUGCUUAUUUUAACAAAUAUCUUAAAUGGAACAUAAGUGUGGAUGUUAUUGCUAAUAAGGCAAAAAGGCACUUUAUAUUUUAAGGUUUUAGAUGCAUCUCAUUUAGAUUUCGAAGCAGCCUUCUUGAAACCAGUUAACCAAAAAACGCUCAACCAAUAAGCUGAAUGUAGUUUAAUGAGCAGCAUUCUUGGCUGCGGCUACUAGCUAUGGUGGAGUUGGAGCAGAAAAGGAAAGUUGCAGCUGUAAAAACCAAAUCUUUAUCUAUGGAUAUUAAAACUUGAAGAUGAAAAUCCGGUUUGCUGAAAUGUUCUUUGUUACACGUAUGUACCGAUGCUCUUAUUUAUAUGAGCAUCUAAUUUAUUUAAAGACAAAUAGGUAGCACCUUUUAAGAAAGGUUAUCGUUAACUGAUGAUCAUGUUGUCAUCAUCAAUUGUAAUUGUAAUUGACCUGCUAUAAAGAUGUUCAGCUGAUUAUUCUUACCUUGCUUUAUAACGAUGACAAAUGUCCGCCAAAAACCAUUAUUAAAUAACGAUUUUAUUUA